CGACGCCGUGGGGCGAGGGGCGGCCCGGCUGGCACCUCGAGUGCUCGGCGAUGGCCACCGCCUAUCUCGGCGGCGAGUUCGACAUCCACGGCGGCGGC
Molecule: transfer RNA, 98 nt
Filed under: Amycolatopsis sp. YIM 10
Lineage: Bacteria; Bacillati; Actinomycetota; Actinomycetes; Pseudonocardiales; Pseudonocardiaceae
Description: tRNA-Arg
Source: RNAcentral